This 245-nucleotide ribosomal RNA is filed under the name uncultured bacterium. Its description in RNAcentral is "partial 16S ribosomal RNA". It matches the Rfam family "Bacterial small subunit ribosomal RNA", at positions 524 to 768 of the family's 1533-position model. The record is from RNAcentral.
UACGUAGGCAGCAAGCGUUGUUCGGAGUUACUGGGCGCAAAGGGUGUGAAGGCGGUUUCUUAAGUUUGGUGUGAAAUCUCCCAGCUCAACCGGGAGGGUGCGCCGAAUACUGAGGAACUCGAGUGCGGGAGAGGAAAGUGGAAUUCCUGGUGCAGCGGUGAAAUGCGUAGAUAUCAGGAGGAACACCGGUGGUGUAGACGGCUUUCUGGACCGUAACUGACGCUGAGACACGAAAGCGUGGGUAG